AGCAGCGUGGCUCAGUGGAAAGAGCACGGGCCUGUGAGUCAGAGAUCAUGGGUUCGAAUCCCGGCUCUGCCA
RNAcentral lists this transfer RNA (72 nucleotides) under Ornithorhynchus anatinus (platypus). It matches the Rfam family "tRNA". Rfam says of the family: Transfer RNA (tRNA) molecules are approximately 80 nucleotides in length. Lineage: Eukaryota; Metazoa; Chordata; Mammalia; Monotremata; Ornithorhynchidae. The record is from Rfam by way of RNAcentral.